ACGAACGCUGGCGGCGUGCCUAAUACAUGCAAGUCGAGCGGACUUUCAAGAAGCUUGCUUUUUGAAAGUUAGCGGCGGACGGGUGAGUAACACGUGGGCAACCUGCCUGCAAGACGGGGAUAACUCCGGGAAACCGGGGCUAAUACCGGAUAAUAUCUUCCUUCGCAUGAAGGAAGGUUGAAAGGCGGCGCAAGCUGCCGCUUGCAGAUGGGCCCGCGGCGCAUUAGCUAGUUGGUGAGGUAACGGCUCACCAAGGCGACGAUGCGUAGCCGACCUGAGAGGGUGAUCGGCCACACUGGGACUGAGACACGGCCCAGACUGCUACGGGAGGCAGCAGUAGGGAAUCGGCCGCAAUGGGCGGAAGUCUGACGGAGCAACGCCGCGGGAGCGAAGAAGGUCUUCGGAUCGUAGAGCUCUGUUGUCAGGGAAGAACAAGUACCGUUCGAACAGGGCGGUACCUUGACGGUACCUGGCCAGAAAGCCACGGCUAACUACGUG
Molecule: ribosomal RNA, 498 nt
Filed under: uncultured bacterium
Lineage: Bacteria
Description: partial 16S ribosomal RNA
Rfam family: Bacterial small subunit ribosomal RNA
Source: RNAcentral